This is an RNA transcript of Dreissena polymorpha, 5718 nucleotides long. RefSeq lists it as uncharacterized. The record is from RefSeq and is a predicted model, not a curated record. NCBI's taxonomy places the organism in Eukaryota, Metazoa, Mollusca, Bivalvia, Myida, Dreissenidae. The transcript has 4 exons.
UUUGUAUUAUAAUUCUUAAAUAUGGCCUUGACAUUUUUGACAGCUGUAGGGAAAAUAUGACAAAAUGACGCAUUACCGUCAGUUUUUGACGUUUAACACUCACAUGCUUUAUGGUGAUAGCGUAUGAGCAAGUGAACUUUUUCUAAUAAAAAUGUGAACUUCAUAACCAAGAAAAGAACGAAUCAUGAAUUCAGGUGAUAUCAAUUUGACUUUCGCCCAUGUUUCAAAUGAAACCAUGACAAUGUUCAGUCAUAACAACACCCUGUCAGGUAUUGAUGACUUCACUCAAAAUGCCACAGAGAGCAGUUUUUACCUGGAUGGAAACAGUACACAUUCCCACACUUUUCCUUCUCUCUAUCAGAACGAUGAGACAAAUGGUCUUGGAACCCCUGUUACCAUAGCAAUAGCAUUAGGAUCGGCAGCAUUUGUAAUUAUCAUUGUGGUUGUUGUUGUGUGUUUUGUGAGGAGAAGAAUCAAGGAGAAAAAAUCUCGGACGUGGGUGGACAAUCUCACCCUAAGUUACAUCGCGGAUAGCAACGCCGAUCUCACCAAGGACAAUUUUGAUGAGAUGGUAUCCCUUGACAACGACAACUUCCUGAACAGCCUGGUAGAUGGGCAAGCAUUCUCUGUGUAUUCAUCAGGCAACAACACUCGACAUUACACCUACUCCUACUUCUGACCCUCAACAACGGUGGUGUCUGAUUCUUGUUGCAGUGGAGACAAUUUUAAUAUACUAGUAGAUCAUUAAUAAUACUUUUCUUAACGAAUGACUGACAUGUGAAAAUAAUUCAAAGCUAACAUUGUUCCACAAACCCAGAGGUAUAAUCAGUCAGUAGAAAUUUGUUUGCUCUGCCUUUGAGAUGUUUGUCAAAAGGUUUACAGUGGUUCAAGUGUAUUAUUCAACCAUUGCUAAUAGUGACCACUCCAAUAUAAACCUUACAAUUUGAAAACUCAAUUUAUAAUACAAAUGUGUUCUUGAACCUUUUGGAACAAUUCUGGUUAAUUUCUUAUCUUUGUUGUGAAGUGCAGAUACAUUUGUUGAAGUGAAAGCUAUGGAGGGGGGAAUACUGUUUAGUAAUUUGCCAUUGGUACGCUAGAUGAUAUUGUUCUGUGAACCCUUUGUUGAUGAUCAGAAGGUUGCAGAACACAAAUUAUUCUUUACCUUUUAAGCUGACCUGUGCACAAUAUGCUCAUGGCAAGCUUUUAUUAUCACCUUUUUGUCCGUCGUCUUUCCGCUUUUUGUCUUCUGAAUUCUCUAGAGGCUGCAUUUAUUUCCUAUCCUUCAUAUUCUACCCAACCUCUUGUCAGAACAUUUAGGCCAAUCAUGUCUUUGCCAAAAUUGAAAUUGGUUCAUGUGGGGGUCAAAAUCAAUGUCACAAUGUCCAAUGAAAGAAAAAGCUAAUGAACAUUAUGGAGGCUAUAUUUUUGCCCAAUGUUAAUGAAUGUCAGAAUAUUUAUCCAAAUGAUAUCUUGGUCAAGCUUGAAACUGGGUCAAAGUAACGGAAAAGCUUGUGAAUACUCUAGAGGCCACAGUUAUAGCCUAUUCUUCGUGAAACUGGAUCAAAAAUUUGUCCCAAUGAAAUAUCAGAUCAGAUUUAAACUGGGUCAUGUAGGGUUAAAACUUAGGUUGAUAGGUCAAAUUGAAGGAAAAGAUUGAGCUCUAUAAAAGUCACAUUUGUUUGCCUAAUCUUCAUGAAACUUGCUCUAAACAUUUGUUGUAAUUAUUUCUUAGCCAAGUUAGAGAUGAUUUAUGGCUAUGAAGCUUGGCAGUUUUGCAUACUGUAUACGGCUAUAUUUAAAAAUUUAACACUAUGAUGACAUAUUUUGACUGAAUCAUUGUAAAACUUACUCAAAACAUUAAGAUUUAAAAUUAGAUUUUUAACUAAGUUUGAAAAUUAUUGUGCUUUGUUCAAAAACAUGGCUGCUAGGUAUUAGGGAAGGUUUUUUUAAAACUCUAUUCUGAAACCACUGAAACCAUGUGAACAAUACCCUACUGGCUCAGAACAGUUAACCCUUUGCAUGCUGGGUAAUUUGUCGUCUGCUACAAUGUUGUCUGCUGAAUUUCUAAAAUUAGAAUUUUCUUCGAUUUUUUUUUCAAAGAAUACUAUCAGAAUAGCAACAGUUUGGAUCCUGAUGAGACGCCAUGUUCUGUGGCAUCUCAUCUGGAUCCAAACUGUUUGCAAAGGCCUUCAAAAUUCGGUUCCAGCACUGAAAGAGUUAAUUACCUUGUGGUCUCAGGUGAGUGACUGAGGGCUUAAGUCCUUUUGUUGCAAUAAUCUACGCAUUGAGGAUUGUUAGAGAAAGCAUUAAAAAAGCAUAUCAAAACCAGAAUGUUUAGAUUUGUUUCAUCCAUAUUGUCAUACAUUUUGCUACAGCAUUUUUCCACAAUGAUCUAUGUUUCAUAUGUUUAUGUGAAUCUUAAUCAGUAUCAUAUCUAAUAUGCCAAAAGUAUUUGGUUAAAUGAAUAUUUUAUAUUUAUAUUUGCAAUAUAAUUUUUACAAUUAUUUAUCCAAUUGUAUUUACAUGGAUUUUUUAUUCAAUCUAGUCACAGCAGUUGUGCUUUUGUGUAACUUUACAGUUUAGGGCUCGCAAUCUGAAGCAGAAAGGAUGUUUCCCUUAAUUAAAAUUUCUUUCCCCGCCUUAUACUAGUAUUGUUUGACAUUCCCACUGAAAUUUACAUCUUUAGACAAAACUAGUAUAAUAAAUUAUGUAAGAAUAUUAUAUUACAUUGAAUGAAACACUGCGAAAAAAUCUGUGGCUAUUGUGUUACAUUCCUCUAACUUAAAUUGUUAUUUACAUUCCUGAUAUUGUGUUACAUGUUGGUAUUUGUUAUUAAAAUUAUGUUUAUUGUAAUGUACAUUCCUGUUCAUUUUUCAGUGUUCAGUUAUAUAAACAUAUAUUUUAUUAUUUGUAUUUAUUUCAAUAGAAAUGGUUUCUAUUAAUGCAAAUAAUGAAAUGUUUAGAGCAAGGUUUAUCUUCAUUCUUAUUAUCCAUAAAGAAUUUAUCCUAUUUACAUUGAUAUGCUGUUUACCAUAACAGUUUUCUUCAUGUGUGACAUCGUCAACCAUUGCAAGUAAAUCCAGGGUCAUUUUUUCUAUUCAUCACAUUGUUGAAUCUUAUGCCAGAUAUUGUUUCAAUUAAUAUACAAUAUGAAGCUUAAAAUACAGUCGUAGUUUUCAGUCUAACAGGAUUUUUUUCGUUGAGAUUUAUGCUUUGUUGUUAUGCAGACUUUGUAUUUUUGUUAGCUCACUUGAGAGAAAAUGCUCAAGGUGAGUUGUUGUGAUCACCCAAUGUUCUGUGUCUGGUACUGUGCAUCAUUGUGUGCAUCAACUUUAAGCCUGUUAUCACCCUUUAGGUCUCUUUUUUUCAAUCUUGAUGAAACUUUAUCAAACUAUUUAUUGGUACUUUAUCUAGAUUUAUAUUACCUGAUUUUAAUAACUAGGUCACUAGGAUAUAUAUAUUUGAUAAAACCAUAUCACUUUGGAAGCUACAUUUAAUUGCAGUCUUGAUGGAACAUUCUCAGAAUUUUUUGUUCUAUUAAAUCCUGGUAAUGUUUCUCCAAAAACAAGGUCACCAGAUGAAGUGUUAAAAAACUUUGAUACCACUGUAAGAUUUUCAUUAAAGUUUUAAUUAAACAUUGUCAUAAUAAAAUAAUUAAUCCAAAAUCUGAAAGUUCUCAUGUGAAUCCAAAAACUAGGUCGUCAGGUUAAAUUUGAGACAAGUCUUUUAGCUACUCUUGAAACAAUAUUUAUAUUUAUGACUCAAUCUUAAUUUAUGUUUGUGCAAAUAUUCAUCAUGACAAUAUCUAGACCAAGUUAGCAACUCAAGUGCUUCCAAAAUCUAUGACACCAGGUUCAGUCUCUUAGCAACCAUUUAAACUAAUCUAGAAGCCAUGUUUAUUACACAAUCUCUAUACAACUCGGUCAGAAUGUUUAUCUUGACAAUAUAAAAGCCAAGUUUCUAUCUAGAUCAGUUUUAUUAAAAAAUAGGUCAUCAGGUACAGCAGAGAAAAAGCGUUUUUGAGGUCUUAUUUAUGACUUGAUGAAACUUGGACAGAAUGUUUUUAUUAAAACUAGCAAGGUCAAGUUCCAAUCUAGGUUAUCUGUUCCAAAACUAGGUCACCAGGCCAAAUCUUAAUACAACCUUGUAACCUCUAUAGAAGCCACAUUUAUUUCACAAUUGUGAUGAAUCUUAAUCAGAAUGUUUAUUUUUACAUAUUUAAGCCAAGUUUGAAUCGGAAUCCCGUGUUCAAAAGUAAGGUAAUAAAAUCAAAUCUUACAAAACCAAGUUUACAACAUAAGGCACCUUUAUGCCUCAUGUUCAAUGAAAAAAAAGGUCAGAAUGUUUAUUUUGACAAUAUCAAGGUUAUGUUCAAAUCAGGGUCAAGUGGGGUCAAAUACUAUGUCACGAGGUCAAGUUUAUGACAAUUGUUAUACCUUUAAUUCAGGUGAGAGCUUCAGGAUUCCUCUUGACAUGUUGAUUAACCCCCCCCCCCCCCAUAAGAAGCAAAGUGAAAAUGGCUUUUACAACCAGCAUAAAACCAGAACAGCCUGUGAGUAACUCGCAGUCUGUUCAGGUUUUAUGCUCUUUGCUGCUCAUCAGUAUCUAAUGGUUGGAAAUGAAGCAUUUCAAACUUGAAUUUAGUAAGAAGGUAUUUAAUUGAAUUUUACUUUCUACUGGACAACAAAUGCGUCAAAAAUAUAUCUAUGUGGAAAAGGGUUAAAAGAAAAUAGUAUGAGCAAAAGCAUGUAUAAUUUUGCUUGACACUCAUUAUUUUUUGUGUUAAAAUGUAACCAGUUAUUUUAUGUAAGUACACAUAUCUAUUCGGGUCAUUCCAAUAAGCAGGGUUAUCAACAUGACUUUUUUGUAAUUUAUUUUUGUGUAUAAACACUUUCAUGGUAAUUAAUAUGCAUCUUUUGAGUUAUCACGUUUGGAUAUGAAAUCUUAUGAUAUAUUAUGUAAGAUGUAAUCUUAGAAAUAAUAACUGACACAUAUUUCAGAUCAAAAGAUUACUUAACUGUGUUAUUUUUAUUUUGUUGUGAUACAUUAGUUACACAUAACAUCAAUAUUCAUUAUUUUUAAAAUGGCAGGAACCUUCAUUUUAAAACUGCAUGAUUUUGAAUCAUGCAUGGUUUUCACCAAAAAUCCCUUAUUUUCAAUUACAAGAAACUUUACUGUUUCAUCAACACUGAGGUAAAUUAUGUUAUUUUUAUUUAAUUGUAAUCUUGACAAAAAAGUUUUGCAAAUUAUUUUUAAAUAAGCAUACACACAUGCACUUAACAUAUGUUAGUUCAAUGUAUAUUGUUUAAAUCAAAGUAGGUAUGUUAUUAUCUAAAAAAAAAGGUAAUAAGCAUGUAUUUAAAGAAAGGGGGCACUGCAAUACUAUGUAUGUCUUGUAGUUGAGAUCGUAGUCAUAAGUUUAUGUUUUUUAAUUGUUUUAUGUAUGUUAAAGGUGCUGAUUAUUGAAUUUGUUCUCUGUAUUUACAUGUUUACAUGCGAUGAUAUAUAACAACUUUGACAGUCAAUUAUUUAUACUGCUCCUCCAUGUGUUAUUAACCCAUUUAUGCCUAGCGUAUUGAAAAAAGGCCUUUGCAAACAGUGUAGACCCAGAUGAGACGCCACAUGAUGCGGCGUCUCAUCUGGGUCUGUGCUGUUUGCUUAAAGGAAUUUUGUAAGAAAUAUUCUAAAUAAAGAAAUAAAAAUACUAGACAUCCCUAA